This 619-nucleotide ribosomal RNA is filed under the name uncultured bacterium. RNAcentral describes it as "bacterial SSU rRNA". It matches the Rfam family "Bacterial small subunit ribosomal RNA", at positions 29 to 643 of the family's 1533-position model. The record is from RNAcentral.
UUGAACGCUGGCGGCAUGCCUUACACAUGCAAGUCGAACGGCAGCACGGGGGCAACCCUGGUGGCGAGUGGCGAACGGGUGAGUAAUACAUCGGAACGUGUCCUGUAGUGGGGGAUAGCCCGGCGAAAGCCGGAUUAAUACCGCAUACGCUCUACGGAGGAAAGGGGGGGAUCUUCGGACCUCCCGCUAGAGGGGCGGCCGAUGGCAGAUUAGCUAGUUGGUGGGGUAAAGGCCUACCAAGGCGACGAUCUGUAGCUGGUCUGAGAGGACGACCAGCCACACUGGGACUGAGACACGGCCCAGACUCCUACGGGAGGCAGCAGUGGGGAAUUUUGGACAAUGGGCGCAAGCCUGAUCCAGCAAUGCCGCGUGUGUGAAGAAGGCCUUCGGGUUGUAAAGCACUUUUGUCCGGAAAGAAAACCGCCUGGCUAAUAUCCGGGUGGGAUGACGGUACCGGAAGAAUAAGCACCGGCUAACUACGUGCCAGCAGCCGCGGUAAUACGUAGGGUGCAAGCGUUAAUCGGAAUUACUGGGCGUAAAGCGUGCGCAGGCGGUCCGCUUAAACAGAUGUGAAAUCCCCGGGCUUAACCUGGGAACUGCAUUUGUGACUGGCGGGCUA